RNAcentral lists this ribosomal RNA (1092 nucleotides) under Megoura crassicauda. RNAcentral's name for it is "partial 16S large subunit ribosomal RNA". The record is from RNAcentral. Lineage: Eukaryota; Metazoa; Arthropoda; Insecta; Hemiptera; Aphididae.
UUUUUUAUAAAAAUAAUUUAUUUAUUUAAUGUUUUAGUAUUUAGUAAAAAUUAAUUUUUAGAUUUAUAGUUUAAUAGUAUUGUAAAAGAAUUAAUUAAAUUUGAAAAAGAAUAUUUUUAGUACCUUUUGUAUCAGGGUUGAUUAAAAUUUUUAAUUUUUUUUUAAUUUCUCAAAAUUUAUAGAGUUAAUUUUAUUAUUAAUUUAUUGUGUUAUAAAUAUUUAUAAAAUAAUAUUAGUUUUGAAAUUUAAUUCGUUAUAUUAUAUUUAGUUAUUUAAGAUUUAAAUUUAAUUUAUAAUUUUAAAAGUUAUAUUGAUUUUAUAUAUAAAUAUUUUAAAUUUGAAUUAUUUUAGGGAUAAGCUUGAAAUUUUUAUAUAAUAAUUUAUUUAUUUUAAUAAUUUAUAGGAAUAGAAAUUUUUAUUUUAAGUUUGUAAAAAUUUAUUAUUUAUUUAUUUUUAAUUUAUUAUAAAUUUAUUUAUUUUUUUUAUUAAAUUUUAUUAAUUAAUAUUUAAUUUUUAGUAAUAAUGAUUAAAUUAGUAUAAUUUAAAUUUAUAAAUUAUGAAUUCGGCAAAAAUUAUUUUCAUCUGUUUAACAAAAACAUUGUAUUAAGUUUUAUUUAAUAUAGGAUCUGCUCAAUGAUUUAUUAAAUAGCUGCAGUAUUUUGACUGUGCAAAGGUAGCAUAAUAAUUAGUCUUUUAAUUGAGGACUUGUAUGAAAGAUUUGAUGAGAAAUAAACUUUAUUAUUUAUAAAAUUAAAAUUUUAUUUUUAAGUAAAAAAGCUUAAAUUAUUUAAAGGGACGAUAAGACCCUAUAAAACUUUAUAAAUAUUAAUUUUAAUUUUUUUGGAUUAAUAAAUAUUUUAUUUUUAUUAUUUAUUUUAUUGGGGUGAUAAAAAAAUUUAUUAAACUUUUUUUAAAAUUUUACAUUAUUUAAUGAAUAUUUGAAUUAAAAUUUUUAAUUAAAGGAAAAAGUUACUUUAGGGAUAACAGCGUAAUUAGUUUUUUAAGUUCAAAUUUAAAAAUUAGUUUGCGACCUCGAUGUUGAAUUAAGAUUAAUCUUAGGUGCAAAAUUUUAAGUAUUAGGUCUGUUCGACC